RNAcentral lists this unclassified non-coding RNA (485 nucleotides) under Hevea brasiliensis (rubber tree). Lineage: Eukaryota; Viridiplantae; Streptophyta; Magnoliopsida; Malpighiales; Euphorbiaceae. The record is from RNAcentral.
AAAAGAGACACUCCUUUUGACUUGGCCUUGUCAAGGAGUGAUGUUGCCAAAUUAAGCUUAUCUUCCUCAACCAAGGAUGAGCCCACUGAGAGGCCUUGUGCCUUGUAAAAUGUGAAGAUCAUUCCUCCACCCAAAAGCAAGAUAUCACACUUCUCAAGGAGUGAUUCAAUAACUCCAAUCUUGGAUGAGACCUUUGAACCACCUACAAUGGCAGCAAAUGGCCUCUUUGGGUUUGAAACUGCCCCAACAAGGUAGUCCAGCUCCUUCUGCAAGAGGAACCCAGCAACAGAUGGUUUUAAGUAUUUUGUGACUCCUUCAGUUGAGGCAUGUGCUCUAUGUGCAGUCCCAAAUGCAUCAUUGACAUAGAGAUCUGCUAGAGAAGCAAGCUUCUUUGCAAAUUCAGGUUCAUUCUUUUCUUCCUCCUUGUGAAACCUCACAUUUUCAAGGAGAAGAACACCACCUUCAGGAAGUGAAGCCACCAAUUU